RNAcentral lists this ribosomal RNA (348 nucleotides) under Triticum aestivum (bread wheat). RNAcentral's name for it is "partial small subunit ribosomal RNA". The record is from RNAcentral. Lineage: Eukaryota; Viridiplantae; Streptophyta; Magnoliopsida; Poales; Poaceae.
AUGUUAGGUGUGGCGGAGAUGCGUAUGUUGAGAUGGAUGUGUGGCCACACGAGGAAGGAUCGAGUCCGGAAUGAUGAUAUACGAGAUAGAGUUGGGGUAGCACCAAUUGAAGAGAAGCUUGUCCAACAUCGUCUGAGAUGGUUUGGGCAUAUCCAGCGCAGGCCUUCAGAAGCUCCAGUGCAUAGCGGAUGGCUAAAGCGUGCGGAGAAUGUCAAGAGAGGGCGGGGUAGACCGAAUUUGACAUGGGAGGAGUACGUUAAGAGAGACCUGAAGGAUUGGGGUAUCAUCGAAGAGCUAGCUAUGGACAGGGGUGCAUGGAAGCUUGCUAUCCAUGUGCCAGAGCCAUGA